RNAcentral lists this long non-coding RNA (1174 nucleotides) under Vigna radiata. RNAcentral's name for it is "long non-coding RNA (VRAD_LNC007625)". The record is from RNAcentral. Lineage: Eukaryota; Viridiplantae; Streptophyta; Magnoliopsida; Fabales; Fabaceae.
AAAUAUAUAAUAUGAAUUUUCCCCUUCCUUGCAAUGGACUACUCUGGACUGUUCACACAGUAAAACAAGGGUCAACACCAUAAAAUGGACAAAUUGGAAUGAAAACUAGCUCAAAAGAGUGAAUACCUUUUAUAACAAAACUGUUUAUGGUAUGGUCAACGGGCCAAGCCAGAAGCAUCACAUCGAUUCAAAGGAGUUGCAGAUGUUAAAAUAAUAGUUAGAUACCUGAAAGAGGAAGAAAAGUCAAACUUUCAAUUACUUCAUGUGUAAACAUACAUGUUUGAAUAUUUGCACCAGAUAUUUUUCCAGUUUCACUGAAAUGAGUCUCAAUGAUCUUUCUCUUUGAAAUUCAAUCAAAUUAAGAGAUUUCAGCACCAAAUUUUAGAGGAUCAGAAACCUAAUGAAUCAACCAAAACAAUCAAUAUAAUAAAUUGGAAAUCUUACAAAACGACUCGAAUUGUCAUUUCUUAAUGUUUUUCCAUUACCAAAGGCUACCAGUAUUGGAUUAGUCUGUAAUAUCUCGUUCACCGUUCCACUUCCACCACCAAGAGUGACAGAGAACACAGUAUAGUAUAUGGAUAAACCUCAAUCUUUAUUAUUCAACCCAACAAUAAAGGACUGUGAGAUGUCCAAUAUAUAGAAAACAUAACAGAGGAGAUUAUUCUAGAAAAAGGUAAAAUAUUCUAUCCUAACAAACUAACAAAUAAAGUAACAAAAUGUAAUAUUAGUGGGGUAAAGAAAAUAUGCCAGGUGUAGGCUAAAACAGAAAUGUAGAAAACCUGUCUUUCUUACAAAGAGCAGGCAAGUAUUGCAUUGUUAUUUUUGCUGUCUCGGUCUUUCCGGCUCCACUAUCACCACUGAAUAUGUAGAUAAAAGGAGUUAUUGCAAGUUUUAAUUCAAAGCGGAGACGAGGACGCUGUAGAAGUCAAGAUUCUUGCACUCGAGGAGGGACCGACGGUGAGCCUGGGUCUGGGAAGGAAGGGUGGAUUUAGGGGCGAAGGACGGGUCCUCAGGACAGUACUCGAUGGAAUCGAUGGAGGUGAGGCCUGGAGGUACUGGAGAACCGGUUUGCGGUUGGGGAGGGUGACGAAGGAGACGCUGGCGAAAUUGUUGUGAAUGUAUUUGAGGUGGUGGUUCUUGAUGAGUGUACCAGGGUUUCCAGAAGCGUUUAUAA